RNAcentral lists this small nucleolar RNA (92 nucleotides) under Echinops telfairi (small Madagascar hedgehog). RNAcentral describes it as "Small nucleolar SNORD12/SNORD106 (ENSETEG00000022972.1)". It matches the Rfam family "Small nucleolar SNORD12/SNORD106". From Rfam's summary of the family: This family belong to the C/D class of snoRNA which contain the C (UGAUGA) and D (CUGA) box motifs. This family includes the human ortholog of mouse snoRNA HBII-99 and human snoRNA U106. In humans both HB11-99 and U106 snoRNAs share the same host gene. The record is from RNAcentral. Lineage: Eukaryota; Metazoa; Chordata; Mammalia; Afrosoricida; Tenrecidae.
GCCAUUGCAACUGAUGACAUAACUUUUUUCCCCAUCAGAUCGACCUUGUUGAUCUAGCUUAACUACUAGCCAGUUUCUGUCUGAUGCUUGGC